GCUGGGCACCAUGGCUCACGCCUGUAAUCCCCGCUACUUGGGAGGCUGAGGCAGGAGGAUCCCUUGAGCCCAGGAGGUCAAGGUUGCAGCGAGCUGUGAUCAGCACCACUGCACUCCAGCCUGGGCAACAGAGUGAGACCCUGUCUCAA
Molecule: unclassified non-coding RNA, 149 nt
Organism: Macaca fascicularis (crab-eating macaque)
Lineage: Eukaryota; Metazoa; Chordata; Mammalia; Primates; Cercopithecidae
Rfam family: Metazoan signal recognition particle RNA
About the family: The signal recognition particle (SRP) is a universally conserved ribonucleoprotein.
Source: Ensembl